UACAGAGGUCCCAAGCGUUGUUCGGAUUCACUGGGCGUAAAGGGUGCGCAGGUGGGUUGGCAAGUUCGAUGUGAAAGCCCCGGGCUUAACCCGGGAAUGGCAUUGGAUACUGCUGAUCUGGAGGAUCGGAGGGGGGACUGGAAUUCUUGGUGUAGCAGUGAAAUGCGUAGAUAUCAAGAGGAACACCAGUGGCGAAGGCGAGUCCCUGGACGAUACCUGACGCUGAGGCACGAAAGCUAGGGGAGCAAACAGG
RNAcentral lists this ribosomal RNA (253 nucleotides) under uncultured bacterium. RNAcentral's name for it is "partial 16S ribosomal RNA". It matches the Rfam family "Bacterial small subunit ribosomal RNA", at positions 524 to 776 of the family's 1533-position model. The record is from RNAcentral.